AUGCCUGUGUUUAUGAUAAUCACGCUUGUUUUUCAGAUUUCGAAAGGAGGUUCUUCCCAGUCUGUGAAGCUUUAUUGCCAACCGCUGUCCUUCUUCAUUUGCAACAAUGUAAAUAUCCGAUUCUUUGCCAACACCCACCUGGUUUCCAGCGGACGCAACUACCUGUCUAGAAGAAAGUGUUUUCAAAGCUGGGUAAUCAUAGCCUGCAUUUGUCAACCGGUAGCCCUGGACAGUUUUGGUGCGCUCCCAAGCUAUGAGUUUAUGUUUCACUAAUUCUGUUAAAACUUUAUUACAGCCACCAUGUUUAAGGCUGGCUAUAGAAGCAACUAAACUGCAGGGAACUAUUUCAUGGUUCCUCACGCCCAUUUCAACCGCGGUCAGGACCCUGAAGUCAUCCCAGCUCAGGUAACGUAACUUGGCCACGUUCACCUUCCCGGUGGCGCCCGAAGACCAAGCCAGGAGCCUCCCCCUCUGCAGCCGCAGACUCGCCUCUGCGGGCGCCUCCCUGUAUGUUUACUUUGGAACUAGGACCAGAAUCGCUACAAGUUUCCUGUGUUUCCACUUGAGAAAACUUUUCCUUCCAGAGGGGAAGUGACUAGGUACUUUAGGGAUCUUUUGUGUUUGUGGCCUUACAUAUCAGUGGAGGAUUUUUUAAACACAUUCUAGAAGAUGAAUUAAUUACAGAAACUCAUGAUUUGUUCUCACUAUAUAGGUAUUUACCUUUAAAAAUAAGAAAAAGGAAUAGAAAUAAGUGUUGCAUGAGCAAUUAUCAAAAAUGUAUUAAUAACACUUGUAUAAAGCAUUUUUAGCUAGGGAACUCAAUAUAGAAUUAUAUAUAAAUCCAGAUUUACACAUUACUCUUAGCCAAGGUAAUCUGUGAAGUGAUGAGACUUGUCUGAUAAAUAGCUUUAUCUAUUUUCCCUGAUUUUACCAUGUGUGGAAUGCAAGUAAGCAUCAGAAUUGCUCGAUUUUAUUUUAUUGCAUCUGAUGUAAGACUUGAUUUUUUCCCCCUAAAGAUUUAUUUAUUUAUUUUAAAGAGAGAGAGCAUGAACAGGAGGUAUAAAGGGAGAGGGAGAGAGAAUUGCAAGUAGACUCCAUGCUGAUCUUGGAGUCUGAUGUGGGGCUUGAUCCCAGGUUGCUGAGAUCAUGAUCUGAGCUGAAACCAAGAGUCAGAUCCUUAACUAACUGUGCCACCCCAGCACUCCAAGACUUGGCUUUUCUCAUGGAAAAUCCUAGUUAAUAAAUAUCCUGAUUUUUUCACAUUGGUUAUGAGUCAGAUAAGUUAUCAUUAUUUCCACAAAAUAUUUCAGGUUAUGAAGAAUGCAAAUGUUUUCAGUUAAGUUGAAUGACAACAAAUGAUGACUUUAUUGUACGUUUUGGCAAUUGUUUGGACUUAGCUACCCCACUUGCGUUGUCUUUUGUAAUUCAUUCAUAUUAUCUUUUUGAUGACCUUUUAAUAUCACUAGUGAUUUGUUACUUUGUAUUGUCAAUUUAAAUGACUUAAAGACUUUAGGAUUAAUAUUUAGCAGGGUAAAUUUAUGAGAAAUCUUUGGUUUUCUACAAAAUUUUUAAAGAAACUAAAAUUCAUAGAGCAAAGGGGUAGAGUUACCUAGUAUGGUUUUGACUUCUUUUUUCUAAGGCUGAAAUUGAGAAGAUAAGGUCAAUGUGGUAUAUAGUUAAUUUUUUUAAUAUGAUGAUUAAGUAAAUUAUAUUUUAAAGUCAAGGUUGAAAGCUAAUCAUGAUAUUGUUAUGUAGCUAUAUGUUUAAGAUCAUAUGCACAUAUUACUGUAUAUUUUCAAAUUAAGAAGCAAAAUAAAUGCAUGUAUAAUAAAGAUGAGGGACCUGGUAACUUAAAAUUGGCCUUAGAAUAUUGAGUCUGCUGUAAACAAGAACUAUUCUCUACCUUACUGUAAUCCAUCCAGAGACUGGGAAUUCUUACCUUGUCAGGUACUCUAAGCCCUUUGGCUAACUUCUGUUAUGCUACUGAAUUGUUAAAACAAAGAAUAAAAAUUCAUCGCAUCUGAAAGCUAUUAAGUCUCUUGUUAAUUGUCCCCUAAUUAAUUAAUAUUAUUAGUUUUCUCUGUUUUUAAUUUUUAAAAAGAUUUUAUAUACUUAUUUUAGAGAGAGAGAGAGAGAAAGAGUGGUGGAGGAGCAGAGGGAGAAGGACAAGAAGACUCUGUACUGAACAUAGAGCCCCAUGCAGGGCUUGAUCCCAGAACCCUAAGAUCAUGACUUGAGCCAAAACCAAGAGUCAGAAGCUUAAUUGGCUGAGCCACCCAGGUACCCCUUCCUGUUAUUUGGGGGGAAAAACUGUACAGAAACUGUAGCUAUUAAGGUAUCCAAUGCAACCAUUCAGCUAUGUUUUUGUUUAGAAAAAUAAAGCUGAGGUAUUAUUAUACUCAGAGCCAUCUUUGGCACUUCUUAGGGGAUGACUUCUAAGGCUUGUUCUUUUAGCUGAAAUCCAUGGCAUGGGAAUCAGUGGCAACAGGGAUGCUGAGAACAAUGUGGUAUAGUUGGUAUGCUCUACAUUUCUUCAUUUCUGCAUUAGUUUAGCCCCAUUAGGGGAUUUGCCCUGAGAAAAUGUGGGUAAAAGCUAUCAGGUCAAAAAAGGGCAACUAGACCUUUCCUGAGAAAAUUUAUUAAUAUAUAUUUGCUUCAUCACAGAUUGUACAAUCAUCAGGAUGGAAAGAAGGGCUCUGGGGAUUGUUAUGCUUUCACUGUAAUAAUUAACCAAAUUAAUGUAAAGUGGUUAUGUCUUU
Molecule: long non-coding RNA, 2759 nt
Filed under: Canis lupus familiaris (dog)
Lineage: Eukaryota; Metazoa; Chordata; Mammalia; Carnivora; Canidae
Description: lncRNA (ENSCAFG00040025418.1)
Source: RNAcentral